This 253-nucleotide ribosomal RNA is filed under the name uncultured bacterium. Its description in RNAcentral is "partial 16S ribosomal RNA". It matches the Rfam family "Bacterial small subunit ribosomal RNA", at positions 524 to 776 of the family's 1533-position model. The record is from RNAcentral.
UACGUAGGGUGCAAGCGUUGUCCGGAAUUACUGGGCGUAAAGCGUGCGCAGGCGGUGAUGUAAGACAGGUGUGAAAUCCCCGGGCUUAACCUGGGAACUGCAUUUGUGACUGCAUCGCUGGAGUGCGGCAGAGGGGGAUGGAAUUCCGCGUGUAGCAGUGAAAUGCGUAGAUAUGCGGAGGAACACCGAUGGCGAAGGCAAUCCCCUGGGCCUGCACUGACGCUCAUGCACGAAAGCGUGGGGAGCAAACAGG